This is a long non-coding RNA of Branchiostoma belcheri (Belcher's lancelet), 491 nucleotides long. RefSeq lists it as uncharacterized. NCBI's taxonomy places the organism in Eukaryota, Metazoa, Chordata, Leptocardii, Amphioxiformes, Branchiostomatidae. The transcript has 3 exons. The record is from RefSeq and is a predicted model, not a curated record.
UACACCGCAAACUCGUUUACGUCAUAUGUUUUUGUCCUCAUACUUUUAAGUUUUAUACGGCCUUUUCAUAGUUUGGAAAUAUAGACUUUGCAAUAGUGAUAUGACGUUAGAUGCUACUUGACUACGUCUUCAGCACGGGUAUUUCCCCUGUUAAUAUGCCACCUGUCGGAGCUGGGAAAGAAUACAAGUUCGAGGGGCAAGGGUUCGAAUCCAGACUGAGCUCAGUUCUAGAGCACAUUGACUCCGCUCUGGGGCUUCUUGCGGAUGGCCACCCGGCCAGACCACAUUGUGAGCUGGCCAGACGGAAGCUGGAAGACUUGUUAAAGGCAGAGCAGAACACAGUCAACCAACAGGACCUCACACAACCAUGGGACCUGCUGGGACAAGGAGCUUUUGCAAAGGUCUUCAAAGCGCGGUUGAAAGGCUCGACUGUCGCAGUCAAGGUGCAGAUCAAGUAUGACAGGACGAUAACCGAACAACGGGUGCUGAGG